This 820-nucleotide ribosomal RNA is filed under the name Paenarthrobacter aurescens. RNAcentral's name for it is "bacterial SSU rRNA". It matches the Rfam family "Bacterial small subunit ribosomal RNA", at positions 622 to 1439 of the family's 1533-position model. The record is from RNAcentral. Lineage: Bacteria; Bacillati; Actinomycetota; Actinomycetes; Micrococcales; Micrococcaceae.
UGCAGUGGGUACGGGCAGACUAGAGUGCAGUAGGGGAGACUGGAAUUCCUGGUGUAGCGGUGAAAUGCGCAGAUAUCAGGAGGAACACCGAUGGCGAAGGCAGGUCUCUGGGCUGUAACUGACGCUGAGGAGCGAAAGCAUGGGGAGCGAACAGGAUUAGAUACCCUGGUAGUCCAUGCCGUAAACGUUGGGCACUAGGUGUGGGGGACAUUCCACGUUUUCCGCGCCGUAGCUAACGCAUUAAGUGCCCCGCCUGGGGAGUACGGCCGCAAGGCUAAAACUCAAAGGAAUUGACGGGGGCCCGCACAAGCGGCGGAGCAUGCGGAUUAAUUCGAUGCAACGCGAAGAACCUUACCAAGGCUUGACAUGGACUGGAAAGAUCUGGAGACAGGUCCCCCGCUUGCGGCCGGUUCACAGGUGGUGCAUGGUUGUCGUCAGCUCGUGUCGUGAGAUGUUGGGUUAAGUCCCGCAACGAGCGCAACCCUCGUUCUAUGUUGCCAGCGCGUGAUGGCGGGGACUCAUAGGAGACUGCCGGGGUCAACUCGGAGGAAGGUGGGGACGACGUCAAAUCAUCAUGCCCCUUAUGUCUUGGGCUUCACGCAUGCUACAAUGGCCGGUACAAAGGGUUGCGAUACUGUGAGGUGGAGCUAAUCCCAAAAAGCCGGUCUCAGUUCGGAUUGGGGUCUGCAACUCGACCCCAUGAAGUCGGAGUCGCUAGUAAUCGCAGAUCAGCAACGCUGCGGUGAAUACGUUCCCGGGCCUUGUACACACCGCCCGUCAAGUCACGAAAGUUGGUAACACCCGAAGCCGGUGGCCUAAC